This 477-nucleotide long non-coding RNA is filed under the name Triticum aestivum (bread wheat). RNAcentral's name for it is "long non-coding RNA (TAES_LNC011169)". The record is from RNAcentral. Lineage: Eukaryota; Viridiplantae; Streptophyta; Magnoliopsida; Poales; Poaceae.
UCCCCAAGAAGUCCCCCGCCGCCGCCGAGAAGGAGGCCAAGUCGCCCAAGAAGAAGACGUCCACCAAGUCCCCCAAGAAGAAGACCGCCGCCACCAAGGAGUAACCGCCCCCAUAGCCUAGCCAGUGUUGCUUAGAUCCAUUUCUCAUGGACUAAGAUGAGACCCUGUAUGUAAUGCCUGCUAGUCUGUGAUUUCGUCGAGCAUGGGUGACAUUGUACCUGCUAGUCAUGGACUAAGAUGAGAUCCAAUCAUUUCAGUCUGUUGUUCUAUCUAUGGCUGCAGUCAUUCCAAUCUCUUGUUCUACCUAUGGCUGCAAUUGAUCUUGCGAAUGCUUGCUCCCUGCCUAUACGUCUGAAGGACGCUUUACUUGUAAAUUCUCUCUUGUGUCAUCUGAAAAUUUCCGUUGAUCUGUAAUUUUCAGUGAUUUAUCUUUACUUCCUUGUGAAGUUCACUUCAAGCUUAUUCCUAUCAAGCUGC